GAUGAACGCUGGCGGCGUGCCUAAUACAUGCAAGUCGAGCGAACAGACGAGGAUCUUGCUCCUCUUACGUUAGCGGCGGACGGGUGAGUAACACGUGGAUAACCGACCGAUAAGACUGGGAUAACUUCGGGAAACCUGAUCUAAUACCGGAUAAUAUAGUGAACCGCAUGGUUCAAUAGUGAAAGACGGUUUUGCUGUCACUUAUAGAUGUAUCCGCGCCGCAUUAGCUAGUUGGUAAGGUAACGGCUUACCAAGGCGACGAUGCGUAGCCGACCUGAGAGGGUGAUCGGCCACACUGGAACUGAGACACGGUCCAGACUCCUACGGGAGGCAGCAGUAGGGAAUAUUCCGCAAUGGGCGAAAGCCUGACGGAGCAACGCCGCGUGAGUGAUGAAGGUCUUCGGAUCGUAAAACUCUGUUAUUAGGGAAGAACAAAUGUGUAAGUAACUAUGCACGUCUUGACGGUACCUAAUCAGAAAGCCACGGCUAACUACGUG
Molecule: ribosomal RNA, 497 nt
Filed under: uncultured bacterium
Lineage: Bacteria
Description: partial 16S ribosomal RNA
Rfam family: Bacterial small subunit ribosomal RNA
Source: RNAcentral